This is a long non-coding RNA of Anolis carolinensis (green anole), 2514 nucleotides long. The record is from Ensembl. NCBI's taxonomy places the organism in Eukaryota, Metazoa, Chordata, Lepidosauria, Squamata, Anolidae.
GGGGGGAUUGUGUCCGACCGGUGUCUUCAGUUUACAGCUCAGUUCUGGAAGAGCUUGUUGCAGAAACUGCUUGUUUCAGAACUGGACACAAGGACAAUAGCAUUAAAAAUAUGGGGGAAAUGGGAAGAUAAAUUGAUGUCAUAUUUAUCAAAGAAAGCCCUGAUAGGUAACUUAAGAAAUUAUGAGGACAAGAGUAUCAUAAAAAAUUGAAACACCUGGGAUAUAGUAAAAUUAAAGAUUUAUAUAACGAAAAUAAGGAAUUAAUGGAAUUGAAACAAUUGGCCUACCAGGAUUAUGAGCAAGUGCUCGCCAUAGAAUACCCUAUAGCACAGUCAGUGAUUGCCUAAUGAAAUGUAAGUCAUGAGAACAUUACUUUGAUUAUUUUGUAUUCAGUUAAGUAUUGAUUUGAUGUUAAUAUAGUGCAAUAAUAGGGGUGCUAUAGCAUAUCUAUUUAUGUAUGAUGAUGUUCUUUUUAUACAUGUAAAUAUAGUGACAGAAACUUAUCCCAAACUGGAAUAUUAAGUUAUAUUUAAAGGAACAGAGAAGAAUCAAUCACCUGUAGAAGGUGUUCCAAAUACCGAAACAAGGAAUACACCCGAGAUACCUUGUUGUAACCUUGGUCACUGUGUAGAACUGUUCUUUGACAUCACCACAACAUUGGAUGCCACACAUGGUCCUUCAAGAUAUCUAUAAGUGACUUUUAAAUCAUCAUAUAUUGGACUAUUGUGUUUAUUUAGAGGAGAUUGAGGUCUCCCGUUUGAAAUCUAUUUGAAUACGGACGUUUAUUCAGGAUAGAGAUAAGUUUUAUCUUUAUAUUGUGUAUACAUAUAAGCAAUAAACCUGUUGUACGAUAAUACAUUUGAAGUUUCAAAAAUAACAACAAUGUAAUACUUUGUGUAUUUCAGUUGUGGGUGGCCAUUGAGCAAACUCAACUUCAGGUUCUCCUUGAGGUUCAGCUGUUUCAUCCAGGGGAAUCUAUGGAGGAUAUCUAGGGAAGACCACCUGCAUCAGCUGCUAUUACCUGCAUCAGCUGCUAUCAGCUGCUACCCCAUUAGAAUGAGACUGGUCUUCAUCCUGGACUACAGAUUCUCAAUGACCUCACAAAGGAAAUAUAACACCAAAUAAAUCCUUACAAUACGUUCUGUCAAACCAAACAUUCUUUAACAAGCUCACACGUUAGAGGCCAGAGUAUCAACAGCUGUCUGGGAAUAUAGCAUGUUGGAUAUUGCUGAAUUCACUCAUAACCCCAAAAUGUAUGUUGUCAGUUAAGUCUUUGUUUUUUAAAACACACACCUUACUCAUAAAGUUCUGUUCAUUUACAUAAUGUGUGAUGGUACUCUUUCUUUCUCCUGGAGAAAAAAACAGCUGCCUCUGGUCCUAGCAAAACUGUGAGCAUUAAAGUCCAUUUUACUAGGAAUGAGAUAUUAGUUAACAGAAUGGGUUCCAGACAGAAAGAGAAAAUUGGAAUGAGGGGGGAAUAAAAAGGGAGGUUCCUCAUUUCAGGAUUAACUUAUUAUAAAAUUCAGGUAUUGGGUGUAUAGAGAAGUGAAAAUCAAAUCUGUGUUUCAGGAAACACUAUUCGUGCAUGGGAGCACUACUGAGCAAAUGUGAAUGGUAAUAUAAAAAUGAGAAUUUACUGCUUCAUCAAAAAACUAAAUAAAAUUUGGAAAUUUCACUUAUACUGUGGCACAGCUGGUUAAUAGCCAGCUGCAAUAAAUCACUACUGACUGAGAGGUCUUGAGUUUGAAGCCAGCCCACAUCGGAGUGAGGACCCGACCAUUAAAAAUAGUCCAGCUCAUUGUUGACCUAAGCAAUCUGAAAGAUAGUUGCAUCUAUCAAGUAGGAAAAUUUAGGUACCGCUUAUGCGGGGAGGCUAAUUUAACUAAUUUACAACACCAUAAAAAUCAUCCAGCAGCAUGCAGAAAGGAAUGAGGAAGCAAUCCAUCAAGGACUCGAUGUCACAGUGGAUGAUGAAGCAGCAGCUCCCCCUGUGGCCGGAAUAGAGCAUACCCUCAUGAAGCCUGGAAGCUGGAAAAUGUUAAAUUGCCUCUGAGUCUUUGUCUCUGUCUCUAUGUCUAUUGGCACUGAAUGUUUGCCAUGUAUGUGUACACUGUAAUCCGCCCCAAGUCCCCUUAUUUAUACUAUAAAUAAAUAAAUAUAAUUGUCUUUCUGUAAUAAGGCCAUGCAUGGAAGUCACAUUUUCAAACUGGAAUAUUGACAAGUAUUUUUUCAUAUUGAACUAGCAAGGUGGUUCUCAACCUAUGGGUCCCCAGGUGUUUUGGCUUACAACUCCCAGAAAUCCCAGACAGUUUACCAGCUGUUAGGAUUUCUGGGAGUUGAAGGCCAAAACGUCUGGGGAUCCACAGGUUGAGAAACACUGAUAUAGCAAGAACCUUUGGAAAUUUAACUGGGGAUUUAUGAAACGCUUUCAACCAUUUGUCUAUAAAUCUGAGAGUCAAAAACUUGCUUAAGGUGACUUCCAGCAACAGCAAUGGCCGAUCAAAGCUCCUCCAU